AUUGAACGCUGGCGGCAGGCCUAACACAUGCAAGUCGAGCGGUAACACAGGGAGCUUGCUCCUGGGUGACGAGCGGCGGACGGGUGAGUAAUGUCUGGGAAACUGCCUGAUGAAGGGGGUAACUACUGGAAACGGUAGCUAAUACCGCAUAACGUCGCAAGACCAAAGAGGGGGACCUUCGGGCCUCUUGCCAUCAGAUGUGCCCAGAUGGGAUUAGCUAGUAGGUGGGGUAACGGCUCACCUAGGCGACGAUCCCUAGCUGGUCUGAGAGGAUGACCAGCCACACUGGAACUGAGACACGGUCCAGACUCCUACGGGAGGCAGCAGUGGGGAAUAUUGCACAAUGGGCGCAAGCCUGAUGCAGCCAUGCCGCGUGUAUGAAGAAGGCCUUCGGGUUGUAAAGUACUUUCAGCGGGGAGGAAGGCGAUAAGGUUAAUAACCUUGUCGAUUGACGUUACCCGCAGAAGAAGCACCGGCUAACUCCGUGCCAGCCGCCGCCGUAA
RNAcentral lists this ribosomal RNA (503 nucleotides) under uncultured bacterium. RNAcentral's name for it is "partial 16S ribosomal RNA". It matches the Rfam family "Bacterial small subunit ribosomal RNA", at positions 30 to 523 of the family's 1533-position model. The record is from RNAcentral.